Molecule: long non-coding RNA, 1861 nt
Filed under: Homo sapiens (human)
Lineage: Eukaryota; Metazoa; Chordata; Mammalia; Primates; Hominidae
Description: HSALNT0323522
Source: RNAcentral
UCCCAAAGUGCCAGGAUUACAGGCGUGAGCCUCCCGGCCUGGCCCUGUUCUUUUAAAAAUAGCCGAUCUAACUUCACACUACUACCAAAAGCCAGAUCUGUCCCCAAGCUCUUUCUUCCCACAUCUCCCCUACCUGCUUGAAAGGGGGUGUUAAGACCUCCUCCACACCUGAGCGCCCCCACCCUGUGGCCGCCACCACCAGAACCACCAUCAACUCUGGAGGCCGAUCUGAGGAGAGAAGAGAAGCCAACAACCCCGCAGGAUGAGAGAGCAAUCUCUUUUGUAUCACAGACCCUCCGGAGCAGUUGCGGGAGGGCUGGCUGGGUGCAUGGAAGUAUUUAGCAGGUUCAGUGCCAUUACUGCCUAACAGGGUGUGAAAAGUAAUAUGAAUGUGAAAUACUGUGGGAAAACGGAGAGUUUCCAAAGCAGGCAGCGAGGCCCCUCCGCUGGUGGGCCUGGAAGGCCAGAAUCCCUGCUGCCCCGAGUGCGGCUCCCGGAGGCGCUGCUACUGGCCGAGGACUGCAGAGGGAAUGUCGGGGAGGGGGAGAUGGAUGGAGGGUGAGAUGGGUGGAGGGUGCAGUCCGCCCUGAGAAGAGAGGGAGGGGCAAGCUGGCAGUGCCUGGGAAAAGCCCGAGAAAAGCCCUGUCGGCUCCCUCUUCCUGGCUGCUAAAGUUGACACAAGACGGCUUCUUGGAACUCCCCCUCCUCCCGCCUAAAUGUACAGAGCAAGACUUGAAGUCAAAAGAUAGAUAGCGAUCGUGCUGAAAGUCAGGUGGAAAACAAGACUGCUAAUUUUAUGAAACAACCUAUCAACCCACUGGGAAGAGAUGACAAGAGGUACAUGGGCGCUUCUGCAGGAGGUGGAGGUGGAGGUGAAAUGCCGAGGUUCUAGACUGAUGUAAAUUUCUCCAACUAACUCCAGAUCGAGAGCCUACAAAUCCGACAAAUAUGCCCACACUUUGACAGUAACCGCCUCCCAGCACGCCCCACCACCGCCAACACACAUGGAGGGGUUUGAACUUUUCCACCUUCCGGACCUCUGCAGUCCGUCGCAGGACGCCCAAACCACAGGCCGGACACAGAUGAAGCCAGACCACAGCCCCCGCCCCAGCCACCGCGGUAGGUGGGUGCCCAAGAGACUUCUCAGACUUGAAGGCACUCUGCGGCCACCAAGAGACCACUCCGCAUCCUAGGUCGAGCCUGUGGGAGAAGCACUCGGGGCCCGGGAGGCCGAGGCCUAAGGAAAGCAGCCGAUGGCUCCCAAGACAACUCUGUCCGGCCAGUACUCCAGGGCAACUUCAACCCCACUAGGACCCAGGCCAAAACCAUAUAUAUAUAUAUAUAUAUAUAAAUUAACGCAAAACAGAGCCACUUUGGUGCCUACCCCUCCACAAGUAGGUAGGCACAUCCAGGUAGCUCUGUCAGAAGAUGGGACCUGGCGCCUUGCAGGGGUAGCCCUAUGGAGAUCCAGAAGCCCCGUUUCGAGCUACGAAGUCUCUCUUCUACUGCAGUCUUCUCUCCAACGUGGAGAUCUAGCAACUUCCCUCCCCCUGGGAUUCCCUGUGAAUCCACUCUAGUUGGGAUAUAGCCUCUCUACAGCUCAGUGACGUAGCGCGCCAAAACCAAGUACCCACCCCGGCAACUGGAAGACCUAGCUGUCCUCCAUCCCGCCUCCGCAGUCGAUAAUCUCCAGGAUCCAAGCAAAGUGCCUGUCCACGUUGUCACCAGAUCCACAAGCGCUUUUGAUGAGAGCUGCUACCCUUUUGGAAACACGAUUCCCUCUCCCUAGUAGAGAAGAAUCUAUUCUUCUGGGCUGGCGUAGACAAAGAAUAACCAAGAUAAAGUAUGUGGUGUGAAAAUA